Molecule: small RNA, 127 nt
Filed under: Marmota monax (woodchuck)
Lineage: Eukaryota; Metazoa; Chordata; Mammalia; Rodentia; Sciuridae
Source: RNAcentral
GCCAGGCACGGUGGGGCACACCUGUAAUCUCAGCAGCUUGAGAGGCUGAGGCAGGAGGAUUGCCAGUUUGAGGCCAGCCUCAGCAAUUUAGCCAGGCCCUAAGCAAUUUAGUGAGACCCUGUCUCAA